ACUAUAAUCGUCAAGACUUCUACUAUGUGGCUAACGAGAAGAGAGAAGGGCAUGAAAGAAAUACGUCAAGGCUUGAGCGUGAAGGAAAGAAGUAAUGUAGGGGAGCAAACUAAAAGAAGAGGAGGAUCUUCUUGGGAAGAAAGAAGAAAGGAGGAGGGCCAAAGUAAAAAAAGACAGAACAGAGGAGGGGAUCAAAAAUCCCUAGCGCAGCCGAUCCCCAUCAGGCCUGCAUCUCACCUCUCUCCCUCACCCCUCCUUCUCCACCACCGGCCGUCGCCGCGGCCAGGCCGGCGUGGCGGUGCGCCUGCUGCUCCUCCACUCAGCCACGAGCACCAUCCGCCGCACCAUCCAUCCAUCCCAGCCGCGCCGUGCCAUCCAUCCACCACUCCACCAGCGUCACUAGCUCCACUUCACCACCGCGCCUCACCAGCGCCCACCUCGCGCGCCCCUCCUGCCGCUUCCUCUCUGAACCCGCUGUUGCUGCUGCAUCUUCCUUCUUCCUCUCGACCUCCUGUUGCUCUUCUCCAAGCACCGCUGCUGCUCCUUCCUUGCAACCCCCCUGCUGUUGUUCAUCCUCUCCACCUCCUUGCGCCUCCCUGCCGGUACCCUUCUCUGCUCAAAACUGCUGCUGCUUGUGCACUCCAGCUUCUCCUUCUUCUCCUGCCUACUGCUGGUUCUUCUUCCCCACAUCACUUUUGCUGCUCCUCUUCUCUGCCUCGCUACUGUUCUUCUUACCUGAACCUCAAAAUUGCUGCUGUUCUCUUCUAAACAACAAAACUGCUGCUACUACUACCUCAACCUCCUAUUGCUUUCUUUCUUUCUCACUCUCUUUUAAAUUUCUGUAAGAUUGAGACGCAUGUGAUUUGUAUUAUUCAGAUUUGAUAAGUGUUAGUAAUCUACUGUUGUUCAGUUCAGACUUCCUGUGUGUGUUAAUUAGUUAAAAUUGUCACUUGUGUACUGCUUGUUGCAGAUUCUUGCUCAUUUUUGUUGUCUAUGUGUUAGCUCAUGCAUCUGAGAAUUAUAAAGACAUAUGUGUGUGUGGUUGAUGUGAAACAAUUAUAUAUAUGUCUCAUGUUUGUUAGUUAGUGGUUUGUAUAAAUUCAGAUUACUACUUGUGAUUUAAUUUUGUAUUGAAAUUGUUCUCUGUGGUAGUCAGUUGUGUGAUCAUUCAAUUUUCAGUCUAUGUAUUAGCUCUGUACCUGUAAUAUAUGUUGUGACAUGAAGCAUUUUCAUCCUUGUCCAUUAUCUUGUUUCUUCACUCUGUCAUACGCUUGUUAGAUAAAUAUAUGUGUUCAUGUCCUGUUGUUCCCUUUUGUGUUAGCAUUUUAGUUUCUCAAGUAACAGGAAAACACCAAAAAAGACAAUAUAGACAAUCUGAACCUCCCCUUUGCUUAUUUUACAUUUUCUUUGGCGACGAUCUUCGGGAACUACCUUGUUAGUUUAGGUUUAUUUUCUUGCAUUUAUAAUCUGAGUUCUGUCACCUAGCUUUAGCCGAGCAUUGUUGCUGUCGCCUAGUCCCUGUGGAGAACACGACACUCACAGUUCGGGUGAAAUAUCCCGCAGUACUUUCAAUCGAUCAUUUUGGCGCCGUUGCCGGGGACUAGCGUCGUGUGACCGUGUUAGGCUAUAGACUAGGUUUUGCUUCUGUUUCUAUCUGGUGCCAUAUAUUUGUGAUAUAUCUCUUACCCCUAACCACUGUUCUAGUUAUCUUCUCUUUCUUUUCUUGUUCAUUUUGUAGGUUGAAUUGUCUUCUCGGAUAUGGCUUACUAUUCAGAUCAUCAUGCUUAUGCGAGCAACACUACAAACAACACGGAAAGUAUUCAAGAACUGAUAAGUAAGAUUUCCCAUCAAUUAGAUGAUUUAGCUCAGCAGCGAGGAGUAGUUUUUGAGGAUAGGCCUAGUUCUUAUUAUCCUUAUUCCGGAAGCAAUCCUUAUGUUGCUCCUACAUGCCAUAUUUGUGGAUUUCAGGGCCAUUCGCCCGCUGAAUGUCAGCGUGGUUACUCUCACACUCCAGAUUGUUUUGGCAUGAGCUUCGCUCAAGAGCAUAGCUCAUACCAAAACAAUUACUCACAUGGGUGUCCUGAAAACCCGAAUAUGUCAUAUAGGAGCAACAACCCCGAGAUCUCACCGCUUGCUUCUAGUAAUCAUAUGCAGGGAUUUAGGUAUGAAGAGGAGAGCCACAGCUAUGCUCCACAACAGUCUUAUUCAGCUCCUAUUCAUAUACCUCAGCACGAGGAGAUGUUGCCAAUGGAGUUAAAUGGUCCUCCAUUUGGUCAACCAACACCUUCAACACAAGUGCCUACUCAAGAUGAGUUUGAUGACAUAGACAAGUUCACACUUUUGAGUCUUGAGUUCAGUUGGAGUGCCGAGGAUGAUCCUAUUAGGAAGGUUAUACUAGAUGAAAUGAAGAAGAUCAAGAGUGGGAAUGAGCUAGUGGAAGAAGUAAAGAAGAUUGAGAAGAACAUCAACGCUGGCAGCUCUAUUUCUUCACAGCUAGAGCUGAGUGUUGCUGAGAUUCCCCUUGAUACAUGUGAGGUUCCAACACCUUCACAUUUCGUUGAGCAAGUUAGCAAGUGCCUUGAGCAAGAGAUACCUCAGAUUGAAGAAGAUGAACUAGAAGACAAGGACCAAGAUGGUCAAGAGCUGCAAUUCCCAAGUGAUCAAGUUGAAGACUCAUCAUCUACUACUGAAGAACUACAAGAAGCUGCUGUAGAUAAAGAUGAAGAUCAUGAGAUUCAUUUGCCUAUUGUCAUACCAGAGCGUGAUGUGUCAGGUUUACUCAAUCCUCUUGAUGACAUGAUGCCUUGUGAUUUCUUUGCUACUACCUUGCUUUACAUGAUACUAUCACUUAAGAUUGAUUUGAAAACUCAUUUGCUUGGAUAUGAUGAUAUAUACCCUGUUAGUGGUAUUACUCUCAUUUGUGAUGAUCAUAGUUACUUUCCUCGUGCUAAUCCUAUGCUUAAUGAAACAUAUCACUCCCAUGCUAGUCUUGCACUUAAUGAUAAAUGUCAUCCUCGUGUGAGUAUUGACCAUGCUGAUUUCUGCCAUCCUAAACAUGUGCUUUAUAGUUAUGCUUAUAUAAUUGGAUAUUCCAUUGAUGACUUGGAGGGCAUCGACCGUAUCACUUGUAGUUGUUUGUGUGAGUCCUAUUUCAGGCUUUUGCUACUGCACUGUUUACUACAUGCUGACCAGGUUUGAGGUGACAUUCCUUGGGAUCCUGGUGGAGUCACAGCAUGGCGAUGAGGGGAGCACAAACAGGGAACACAAACAGAGAAGAGUGGAGAGAAGAAAGUAGGAGAGAAGAGUAUACAAAUACCAGGUGAUUCUGUUCCACUUGAAGCAACCUUUAGAAAAUUUAGUACGAGAACUGGCAUUUUAUUGCAUUGAAACGCUUUUUGCAUUGUGACACCUUACUCUUCACUGCAAAGUAGGAUUCACUCCAAGAAGAUUGUUGAUUCUCUUAAUACUAAAACUAUGCAGCAGUAUUCUUCUUAUGGUAAUUUGUGAUAAUGAAUACUUUAUACCUCCAUGUAAAUGUUCAAUGGGAAUGCCUUGAGUCUAAGUGAAACCUACUAAUGAAUUGAUGUGCUGUGUCUGACUGUCCCACGUUAAGCUAAGUAACUGGUGGCACUUAAGUAGUAGCUAUGAUCUCUGGAUCUGUAGUAUGUGAAAAACAGUGCCAUUAGUUAUGGAUUCCUCUUUCAAUUAUUCCUGUUUUACUUAAGCUAAGUAAUUUUCAAAUAACUAAAUAAAAUAAUUAUAAUAUUUUAAGUCCGAUCGACCUAUAGUAGCAUGUCAUGUUCCCUGGAUCGGUGGCUUGUGAAAUCUGGUAGAUUGGACUCUAAAAAAAAAUUAUAUAAAAAUGCUAUAAUUUGUCGAACCAGGUGUAUACCAUGUUCUCGGGAUCGGUGGUAUGUUCCUUUGGGGAGAUAACAAAAAAAUAUACUAAUAAUUUGGUCGAGCCAGGUGUAUACCAUGUUCUCGGGAUCGGUGGUAUGUUCCUUUGGUGAGACUGAUAUAAUAUCAUCACUUGUGCUUUAAAUUCAAUAAGUAACUUGUUUUUCUAAUUGAUUUUGGGGUCCCAGCUUAUCUCAGGGCUGAAGACAGAGCCAGCUCUUGAUUAUUAGUAUUCACUUUGACUCAAGGCCAUUGACUUGGAACAUUUACAGUGUGUUAUAAAAUAUUUCUUAUCACAAUUUAGCUUCAGUAGAGUACAUUUGCUUAGUUCCAGUAUUGUCGGAAUUACUAUCUAUCGGAAAGUGCAUAUUUACUAGGCAGUGUGAGUUGUGUCACCAUCAAAUUUUUUUUCCUUUGCUCGAGGACAAGCAAAGAUUUAAGUGUGGGGGAACUUGAUAAGCACAUUUCUUAUAUACUAUUUGGGCACACAAAUUCACCUUUUAUUGAGAUAUAUCCAUCCAUUCUUGCUAUGACUUGUUGAAUAUUUGAAUGAUAACCAUAAAAGAGAAUGUUGACUAGUGAAUUGUUUAUUUUGCAGAAAAGUGCGCAAAUGCACUAUAAUCGUCAAGACUUCUACUAUGUGGCUAACGAGAAGAGAGAAGGGCAUGAAAGAAAUACGUCAAGGCUUGAGCGUGAAGGAAAGAAGUAAUGUAGGGGAGCAAACUAAAAGAAGAGGAGGAUCUUCUUGGGAAGAAAGAAGAAAGGAGGAGGGCCAAAGUAAAAAAAGACAAAACAGAGGAGGGGAUCAAAAAUCCCUAGCGCAGCCGAUCCCCAUCAGGCCUCGCAUCUCACCUCUCUCCCUCACCCCUCCUUCUCCACCACCGGCCGUCGCCGCGGCCAGGCCGGCGUGGCGGUGCGCCUGCUGCUCCUCCACUCAGCCACGAGCACCAUCCGCCGCACCAUCCAUCCAUCCCAGCCGCGCCGCGCCAUCCAUCCACCACUCCACCAGCGUCACCAGCUCCACUUCACCACCGCGCCUCCACCAGCGCCCACCUCGCGCGCCCCUCCUGCCGCUUCCUCUCUGAACCUGCUAUUGCUGCUGCAUCUUCCUUCUUCCUCUUGACCUCCUGUUGCUCUUCUCCAAGCACCGCUGCUGCUCCUUCCUUGCAACCCCCCUGUUGUUGUUCAUCCUCUCCACCUCCUUGCGCCUCCCUGCCGGUACCCUUCUCUGCUGAAAACUGCUGCUGCUUGUGCGCUCCAGCUGCUCCUUCUUCUCCUGCCUACUGCUAGUUCUUCUUCCCCACAUCACUUUUGCUGCUCCUCUUCUCUGCCUCGCUACUGUUCUUCUUACCUGAACCUCAAAAUUGUUGCUGUUCUCUUCUAAACAACAAAACUGCUGCUACUACUACCUCAACCUCCUGUUGCUUUCUUUCUUUCUCACUCUCUUUGAAAUUUCUGUAAGAUUGAGACGCAUAUGAUUUGUAUUAUUCAGAUUUGAUAAGUGUUAGUAAUCUACUGUUGUUCAGUUCAGACUUCCUGUGUGUGUUAAUUAGUUAAAAUUGUCACUUCUGUACUGCUUGUUGCAGAUUCUUGAUCAUUUUUGUUAUCUAUGUGUUAGCUCAUGCAUCUGAGAAUUAUAAAGACUGUGUGGUUGAUGUGAAACAAUUAUAUAUAUGUCUCCUGUUUGUUAGUUAGUGGUUUGUAUAAAUUCGGAUUACUACUUGUGAUUUAAUUUUGUAUUGAAAUUGUUCUCUGUGGUAGUCAGUUGUGUGAUCAUUCAAUUUUCAGUCUAUGUAUUAGCUCUGUACCUGUAAUAUAUGUUGUGACAUGAAGCAUUUUCAUCCUUGUCCAUUAUCUUGUUUCUUCACUCUGUCAUACGCUUGUUAGAUAAAUAUAUGUGUUCAUGUCCUGUUGUUCCCUUUUGUGUUAGCAUUUUAGUUUCUCAAGUAAUAGGAAAACACCAAAAAAGACAAUACAGACAAUCUGAACUUCCCCUUUGCUUAUUUUACAUUUUCUUUGGCGACGAUCUUCGGGAACUACCUUGUUUAGUUUAGGUUUAUUUUCUUGCAUUUAUAAUCUGAGUUCUGUCACCUAGCUUUAGCCGAGCAUUGUUGCUGUCGCCUAGUCCCUG
This 6028-nucleotide long non-coding RNA is filed under the name Triticum aestivum (bread wheat). Its description in RNAcentral is "long non-coding RNA (TAES_LNC003365)". The record is from RNAcentral. Lineage: Eukaryota; Viridiplantae; Streptophyta; Magnoliopsida; Poales; Poaceae.